UACGUAGGGUGCAAGCGUUAAUCGGAAUUACUGGGCGUAAAGCGUGCGCAGGCGGUUAUGUAAGACAGAUGUGAAAUGCCCGGGCUUAACCUGGGAACUGCAUUUGUGACUGCAUGGCUAGAGUUUGGCAGAGGGGGGUAGAAUUCCACGUGUAGCAGUGAAAUGCGUAGAUAUGUGGAGGAACACCGGUGGCGAAGGCGGAUCUCUGGGCCUUACCUGACGCUGAGACGCGAAAGCUAGGGGAGCGAACAGG
Molecule: ribosomal RNA, 253 nt
Filed under: uncultured bacterium
Lineage: Bacteria
Description: partial 16S ribosomal RNA
Rfam family: Bacterial small subunit ribosomal RNA
Source: RNAcentral